GGAGGGGGCUAGCGUUGUUCGGAUUUACUGGGCGUAAAGGGCGCGUAGGCGGUAUGUCAUGUCAGGGGUGAAAGGCCUGGGCUCAACCCAGGAACUGCCUUUGAAACUGGCAAACUAGAGUCCGAUAGAGGAUGGCGGAAUUCCCAGUGUAGAGGUGAAAUUCGUAGAUAUUGGGAAGAACACCAGUGGCGAAGGCGGCCAUCUGGAUCGGCACUGACGCUGAGGCGCGAAAGCGUGGGGAGCAAACAGGAUUAGAUACCCUGGUAGUCCACGCCGUAAACGAUGUGUGCUAGACGUUGGGGGGCCUUAGGCCCUGAGUGUCGCAGCUAACGCGUUAAGCACACCGCCUGGGAGUACGGCCGCAAGGUUA
This 370-nucleotide ribosomal RNA is filed under the name uncultured organism. RNAcentral's name for it is "partial 16S ribosomal RNA". It matches the Rfam family "Bacterial small subunit ribosomal RNA", at positions 527 to 896 of the family's 1533-position model. The record is from RNAcentral.